GCUGGGUUCAGAACGUCGUGAGACAGUUCGGUCCCUAUCCGGCGUGGGCGCAGGAUAUCUGAGAGGAGCUGUCCUUAGUACGAGAGGACCGGGAUGGACCGGCCGCUGGUGUAUCUGCUGGCUCACCAGGGCCAUGGCAGAGUAGCCAAGCCGGGACGGGAUAAACGCUGAAGGCAUCUAAGCGUGAAGCCCCCCUCAAGAUGAGAUAUCCCUACCGUAAGGUAGUAAGACCCCUUGAAGACGACGAGGUAGAUAGGGCAGGGGUGGAAGUGCAGUAAUGCAUGGAGCUGACUGCUACUAAUCGGUCGAGGGCAUGACCAAA
This 322-nucleotide ribosomal RNA is filed under the name Dorea sp. Its description in RNAcentral is "partial 23S ribosomal RNA". It matches the Rfam family "Bacterial large subunit ribosomal RNA", at positions 2604 to 2925 of the family's 2925-position model. Lineage: Bacteria; Bacillati; Bacillota; Clostridia; Lachnospirales; Lachnospiraceae. The record is from RNAcentral.